GCUCCAACACUACCAGAAUCAAGGGUAUGAUGUCAGGAAAAUAUUACAAGCUAGUUAAAUGAGGCAUCGUAAAAUUCUCAAUCAUCAUCAUUAACUCAUUCGAAGUUGCUGAUCAUAUGGAUGAAUCUAAUUAAAUUUCCAUAAUUUAGGCCAAAUGUUAACUGAGAAAUUCCCAAUGCUUAAUUGUUUACAAUACUGUUUUUGGGCAUGACUCCUCCUCAAUGUCCUCAACAUGGGAGAAUUGAAACAGUCAAGAAGAUCAAAAUAGUUCUGGAAUGCACUGCUCUUUUCUUGCGGCUUAACAAGUAUGAGAUUCAACUUAUUCACAAGGAGAAACUGCUUCCGCUUGAGAAGACCAUAAGUAUAUUUAAACUUAUGCAUGGUUCUUCUCAUGCCGAAGCAGUUUCUCCUUGUGAAUAAGUUGAAUCUAAUGCUUGUUAUGAAGCAAGAAAAGCACAGUACAUUCCAGAACCAUUUUGAGCUUCUUGACUGUUUCAGUUCUCCCUUGUUGAGGACAUUGAGGAGGAGUCAUGCCCAAAAAUAGUUUAGAUGACAGAAACUGAAAUUUCCUCCGAUGCCCAUAAGUAGAACUCUAAGAUGGACGUAUUCUUUAUCAUUAGCAAUUAACUUCAGAUGAGUCUUGAAGAAAUCAGGGCUAGAGAUUAGUUGAUGCUAGGGUUUUGAAAGGCACACGAAUCUCGACAACAAUUUCGUGGGCAGCCUUAAGAGGAUCUCUAUAAUGAUUUCAUCAUGGAUUAUUGAAUCACUCAUUGGAGUUGCAACUCAAAAAAGAAAUGCUGGUAUCACAGAUUGAAGAAGUUCAAUUUCCUAAAGUAAGAGUUAGGUUCAGAUGUUUUUCUCAAAGUGAGGAGUGCUAGUAGACUGCAAAGUUUGUGCCCAAAUAAUCUUCUUCUAUAUAUAUGAAAGAAAGAAUCCUUAGCCCGGCAUGUGGCACACCAUAAUUUGGAAU
Molecule: long non-coding RNA, 970 nt
Filed under: Capsicum annuum
Lineage: Eukaryota; Viridiplantae; Streptophyta; Magnoliopsida; Solanales; Solanaceae
Description: long non-coding RNA (CANN_LNC017846)
Source: RNAcentral